UGAGGAAUAUUGGUCAAUGGGCGAGAGCCUGAACCAGCCAAGUAGCGUGAAGGAUGACUGCCCUAUGGGUUGUAAACUUCUUUUAUAAAGGAAUAAAGUCGGGUAUGGAUACCCGUUUGCAUGUACUUUAUGAAUAAGGAUCGGCUAACUCCGUGCCAGCAGCCGCGGUAAUACGGAGGAUCCGAGCGUUAUCCGGAUUUAUUGGGUUUAAAGGGAGCGUAGAUGGAUGUUUAAGUCAGUUGUGAAAGUUUGCGGCUCAACCGUAAAAUUGCAGUUGAUAAUGGAUAUCUUGAGUGCAGUUGAGGCAGGCGGAAUUCGUGGUGUAGCGGUGAAAUGCUUAGAUAUCACGAAGAACUCCGAUUGCGAAGGCAGCCUGCUAAGCUGCAACUGACAUUGAGGCUCGAAAGUGUGGGUAUCAAACAGG
This 424-nucleotide ribosomal RNA is filed under the name uncultured bacterium. Its description in RNAcentral is "bacterial SSU rRNA". It matches the Rfam family "Bacterial small subunit ribosomal RNA", at positions 355 to 776 of the family's 1533-position model. The record is from RNAcentral.